GACGAACGCUGGCGGCGUGCUUAAUACAUGCAAGUCGAACGGAAAGGCCCUGCUUUUGCGGGGUGCUCGAGUGGCGAACGGGUGAGUAACACGUGAGUAACCUGCCCUUGACUUUGGGAUAACUCCAGGAAACUGGGGCUAAUACCGGAUAGGAGCUCCUGAUGCAUGGUGGGGGAUGGAAAGAUUCGGCGGUUGGGGCUGGACUCGAGGCUCAUCAGCUUGUUGGUGGGGUAGUGGCUUACCAAGGCUUUGACGGAUAGCCGGCCUGGGAGGGUGACCGGCCACAUUGGGACUGAGAGACGCCCCAGACUGCUACGGGAGGCAGCAGUGGGGAGUAUUGCACAAUGAGCGGAAGCCUGAUGCGACAGCGCCGCGUGCGUGAUGACGGCCUACGGGUGAUAAACCGCUUUCUCCUGUAACGAGGCGUGAGUGACGGUAAUGGGUAAAGAAGCACCGGCUAACUACGUG
Molecule: ribosomal RNA, 468 nt
Filed under: uncultured bacterium
Lineage: Bacteria
Description: partial 16S ribosomal RNA
Rfam family: Bacterial small subunit ribosomal RNA
Source: RNAcentral